GAGAAGAAUAGGAAGAUGGAGGAGGAGAAGAGGAAGCGGGACUAUGAACGCCUUCAAGGACUAGAAGCAAGUCAAGCGGAAUUGGCAGCUAAAUUCCAGCGACAGCAGGAGCAGAUCGACUCACUUAGCCAGCAAAGGGGGUCUCAGCAGCUGCAGCAGCUAGCGGAUGAUCCAGCAUUGGAUACCACCGCCCCAUCCAUGCCGAGAAGCAGCGUGGGUUCCGCCCCGGGCGACACAGUAGUGCUGGAUAGAUACCCCGUGGAUGAAAUCACGGAGAACACUAACUGCGAGCUACACUUCAAAAUGAAGAACAUAUCCAUGAAGGUGGCGGACGCCGUUGCUUUUUCA
This 348-nucleotide ribosomal RNA is filed under the name Triticum aestivum (bread wheat). RNAcentral describes it as "partial small subunit ribosomal RNA". The record is from RNAcentral. Lineage: Eukaryota; Viridiplantae; Streptophyta; Magnoliopsida; Poales; Poaceae.